Small nucleolar RNA from Rattus norvegicus (Norway rat), 95 nucleotides. Ensembl annotates it as small nucleolar RNA U13. The record is from Ensembl. Lineage: Eukaryota; Metazoa; Chordata; Mammalia; Rodentia; Muridae.
AUCUUUUUGUCUCCUAAACAUGAGGAUUGGAUGUUCACAUCAGUGACAUUCCUCCCUCACACCUUGUUCUGAUGUCACACGUUACCCAUCUGACG